Long non-coding RNA from Sphaeramia orbicularis (orbiculate cardinalfish), 504 nucleotides. RefSeq lists it as uncharacterized. The record is from RefSeq and is a predicted model, not a curated record. The transcript has 3 exons. Lineage: Eukaryota; Metazoa; Chordata; Actinopteri; Kurtiformes; Apogonidae.
CUCACUCUCUCUCUCUCUUUCUGACACUCUUUUCUGGUUGCAGAUCUGUUACACCAUCACCAGGAGGCGCUCUGGCCUUUGCAAUGUAAACACCAGGGUUUUAUGCUGUUGAUCAUUAUUCACUGCUAAGUCUGGAGAUGUGGGAAGAGUGUCCACUCACAAGGAGACAAACACGAACAUAUUGAUCUUAUUUGGACAGGCUUUUGUCUGGGACACAUCCAAACCCAAACAGCCAGAGGAAGGACCACAACAGGGUCUUUCCCGUUUGUGUUCAACCGGGUGCCAGAAUGUGGCCGCGUGCUGGAAUACAUCUAGAAAUGGUGGGAAAGCGGAGGGACGCUGUGUGUGGCGAAGGCCUGCGCUCGGACUCACUGGUGCGACGUGAAGUAAUGGUUUACUAGAGUUUAGCUGACGCCUUUUUGUAUCACCCACAAACUACAGCGCGACUCUAGAUGAGAUCCCCUCUGCCUUAGAUCACUCGGCAAGCCACGCUGAGACGCAAGA